UUGGGGAACACUGGGGCAUACC
RNAcentral lists this microRNA (22 nucleotides) under Mus musculus (house mouse). RNAcentral's name for it is "mmu-miR-7231-5p". Lineage: Eukaryota; Metazoa; Chordata; Mammalia; Rodentia; Muridae. The record is from miRBase by way of RNAcentral.